UGAGUAACACGUGGGUAACCUGCCUGUAAGACUGGGAUAACUCCGGGAAACCGGGGCUAAUACCGGAUGGUUGUUUGAACCGCAUGGUUCAAACAUAAAAGGUGGCUUCGGCUACCACUUACAGAUGGACCCGCGGCGCAUUAGCUAGUUGGUGAGGUAACGGCUCACCAAGGCAACGAUGCGUAGCCGACCUGAGAGGGUGAUCGGCCACACUGGGACUGAGACACGGCCCAGACUCCUACGGGAGGCAGCAGUAGGGAAUCUUCCGCAAUGGACGAAAGUCUGACGGAGCAACGCCGCGUGAGUGAUGAAGGUUUUCGGAUCGUAAAGCUCUGUUGUUAGGGAAGAACAAGUACCGUUCGAAUAGGGCGGUACCUUGACGGUACCUAACCAGAAAGCCACGGCUAACUACGUGCCAGCAGCCGCGGUAAUACGUAGGUGGCAAGCGUUGUCCGGAAUUAUUGGGCGUAAAGGGCUCGCAGGCGGUUUCUUAAGUCUGAUGUGAAAGCCCCCGGCUCAACCGGGGAGGGUCAUUGGAAACUGGGGAACUUGAGUGCAGAAGAGGAGAGUGGAAUUCCACGUGUAGCGGUGAAAUGCGUAGAGAUGUGGAGGAACACCAGUGGCGAAGGCGACUCUCUGGUCUGUAACUGACGCUGAGGAGCGAAAGCGUGGGGAGCGAACAGGAUUAGAUACCCUGGUAGUCCA
This 705-nucleotide ribosomal RNA is filed under the name Bacillus tequilensis. RNAcentral's name for it is "bacterial SSU rRNA". It matches the Rfam family "Bacterial small subunit ribosomal RNA", at positions 107 to 797 of the family's 1533-position model. Lineage: Bacteria; Bacillati; Bacillota; Bacilli; Caryophanales; Bacillaceae. The record is from RNAcentral.